UGGGGAAUAUUGGACAAUGGGGGGAACCCUGAUCCAGCCAUGCCGCGUGGGGGAAGAAGGCCUUAUGGUUGUAAAGCACUUUAAGCGAGGAGAAGGGUACUGGUAUUAAUACUACCAGGUACUGGACGUUACUCGAAGAAUAAGCACCGGCUAACUCUGUGCCAGCAGCCGCGGUAAUACAGAGGGUGCGAGCGUUAAUCGGAUUUACUGGGCGUAAAGCGUGCGUAGGCGGCUAAUUGAGUCGGAUGUGAAAUCCCCGAGCUUAACUUGGGAAUUGCAUUCGAUACUGGUUAGCUAGAGUGUGGGAGAGGAUGGUAGAAUUCCAGGUGUAGCGGUGAAAUGCGUAGAGAUCUGGAGGAAUACCGAUGGCGAAGGCAGCCAUCUGGCCUAAUACUGACGCUGAGGUACGAAAGCAUGGGGAGCAAACAGG
This 430-nucleotide ribosomal RNA is filed under the name Pseudomonadota bacterium. RNAcentral describes it as "Proteobacteria bacterium partial 16S ribosomal RNA". It matches the Rfam family "Bacterial small subunit ribosomal RNA", at positions 355 to 776 of the family's 1533-position model. Lineage: Bacteria; Pseudomonadati; Pseudomonadota. The record is from RNAcentral.